Molecule: long non-coding RNA, 1099 nt
Organism: Hevea brasiliensis (rubber tree)
Lineage: Eukaryota; Viridiplantae; Streptophyta; Magnoliopsida; Malpighiales; Euphorbiaceae
Exons: 2
Source: RefSeq, a predicted model, not a curated record
GAUGAGUAAGAUAUGGAGGAGAGAAGUUUCGGGUUUUUCAAGCUUUUUCGUCAGAUCUAGGACGAUCCGACCGUUGGAUCGACGAUCCGAGACCACAUAUAGACUGAGGAAGAGGGGGGGAACAUGAUGGUGUGAUCAGAUCUAGCAAAUGUCGCCGGCGACCGGGGCCGGCCACCGUGCGUGGUGGUUCUGGUGGGUUUUGGAGAUGAUUCAACUUCCAGAUGCUUCCUCAUAAAUUUUUGGAAUUUUUGAGACACAGAUAAACUUCGGGUGAUCGAGGUCAGCUAUUUUUCUGCAUCCAGCAGCCACAAUAGUCAUAGGUGUACUGUGAGUAAAAUGUUAAUUUUAAUUGUAAUUUCGAUAUUAUUAUAUGUUUAAGCAUGCCCAUGCAUCACUUAUAUAUAUGUAUCUAUAUAGUUAAACUCUAGGCACGUUUUAUGUUGCAUUCAUAACUGUUAAAGUGCCAUGGAUGUUGUUGUAGUAAUUUGGAGCAGUGUGCGUGCGUUGGCGUGCGUGUGAUGUGGUGUUGACUAUGGAUAGGACGGGUAGACACGGCUUGAGAUCUUCGCUAGGACCCGGUCCUUCGGGGUAGACACGGCUUGAGUUCUUCGCUGGGAUCCCGAUUUGGUUUAUUAAGCGAAAGUCUGGCUUGAGUUCUUCGCUGGCAUAGGUUGGAUUUAAGAGAGCUGUAUAGGGGAUCAACUCUCAUAUAUUAUGAUUGAUAUUACUGGGUGUAUGAGUGCUCCAGAUUACCUUUUUGCUGUUAUGAUGUGAAAAUAUUACUGAUGUUGCAUUUUAUUCUACAGGGUGCAUUAACUUUAGAUAGUUAUAGAGAUUAUGAUUAAAAUUGAUAUUUUACUCUCUAAGUCGAACGCUCACUCCUGUUCAUCAUAUUUUUCGAGGCUACAGGAGGAGAUAUUUUUCAGAAUAACCUGUCCCUUUCCUCUCAGGUUAUGAAAAGAUUACUUAAUUGUAUUAUUAUUCUCUAAAUUUGUAAUUUAGGACUCCGCAUGUACUAGUAGUAUUAUUAAUCCUGUCAGGGACUGCGUGAAUUUAAGUUUUUGUAUUAAUAAAUGAAAAUUUUUUUAUGAGUUUUAAA